RNAcentral lists this transfer RNA (55 nucleotides) under Kummerowia stipulacea. RNAcentral describes it as "partial tRNA-Gln". It matches the Rfam family "tRNA", at positions 17 to 69 of the family's 71-position model. Rfam says of the family: Transfer RNA (tRNA) molecules are approximately 80 nucleotides in length. The record is from RNAcentral. RNAcentral also lists the same sequence under 41 other names. Lineage: Eukaryota; Viridiplantae; Streptophyta; Magnoliopsida; Fabales; Fabaceae.
GGUAAGGCAACGGGUUUUGGUCCCGCUAUUCGGAGGUUCGAAUCCUUCCGUCCCA